AGUGAACGCUGGCGGUAGGCCUAACCCAUGCAAGUCGAACGGCAGCACAGUAAGAGCUUGCUCUUACGGGUGGCGAGUGGCGGACGGGUGAGGCAUACAUCGGAAUCUACUUUUUCGUGGGGGAUCACGUAGGCAAACUUACGCUAAUACCGCAUACGACCUACGGGUGAACGCAGACGAUCUUCGUACCUUUCGCGACUGAAUGAGCCGAUGUCGGAUUAGCUCGUUGGCGGAGUAAAUGCCCGCCAAGCCGACUAUCCGUAGCUGUUCUGAGAGGAUGAUCAGCCACAUCGGAACUGAGCAACAGCCCAGAAUCCUACAGUAGGCAGCGUUGGGGAAUAGAGGGCAAUGGGCGCAAGCCUGACCCUGCCAUCCCGCGUGGGUGAAGAAGGCCUUGGGGUUGUAAAGCUCUUGUGGUGGGAAAGAAAAGCAGCAGGUUAAUGCCCUCCUGUCCUGACGGUACCCAAACAAGAAGCACCGGCUAACUUCGUG
RNAcentral lists this ribosomal RNA (492 nucleotides) under uncultured bacterium. RNAcentral describes it as "partial 16S ribosomal RNA". It matches the Rfam family "Bacterial small subunit ribosomal RNA", at positions 29 to 507 of the family's 1533-position model. The record is from RNAcentral.